Acanthosepion pharaonis is the source of this 110-nucleotide non-coding RNA. Lineage: Eukaryota; Metazoa; Mollusca; Cephalopoda; Sepiida; Sepiidae. The record is from the annotation of a GenBank genome assembly.
UUACGGCCAUAUAGUAUUGAAGCACCAGUUGCCAUAUGAUCACUGAAGUUAAGCAAUGUCGAGCCUGGUCAGUAUUUAGGUGGGUGACUGUUUGGAAUGUGUGAGUGGUG